RNAcentral lists this ribosomal RNA (612 nucleotides) under Triticum aestivum (bread wheat). Its description in RNAcentral is "partial small subunit ribosomal RNA". The record is from RNAcentral. Lineage: Eukaryota; Viridiplantae; Streptophyta; Magnoliopsida; Poales; Poaceae.
AUGGCCAAGACAACAUUAUGGAGAAGGUUGAAGGAGGGCAGACUGAAGCGCCAUACAAAUUCAAUUAAAUCCACACUGACUGAUGACAACAAGCUAGGUCGUAUUCGGUUUUGUUUAUCCAUGUUGGAUGAACUAAGCGUGCCUGAAGAACCCACAUUUAAAGGCAUGUACAAUGUCAUCCAUAUUGAUGAGAAGUGGUUCUACCGCACUAAAGUGGUAGCAAGGCCUCGUUAUGAUGAUCAUGGUGUUAUGACAUUUGAUGGCAAGAUUGGAAUUUGGCCGUUCACAUAUCAGGACUUUCCAAAGUGGCGUAGCCCUUACAGAGAGAGGGGGGAAGAGGCUCUUUUUGAGAAGAUGUCCCCUGGUAAAAUUGUUUUUAUUAUUGCAAAGGUGAAAAAAGCCUAUGACACGUACCCGGCCGAGAGAAGCAACCGUAUUUUUCUGACCCUUCAGUCAUGCAUGCGCGAGGUACUAAAGCAGAAAGGAGGUAACCGGUACAAGGUUCCACACAUGACGAAGUCAUUUCUGGCAGCACUCGUAAUGCUUCCGGACGUAGUACCCUGCGAUGUUGAUGUUGUAAUUGCUGCUAUUGAGGCCCUUCCAGAUGCUUGA